GGUACACCUAAUCGUCACCAAUUUGCACUCAUCCAUGCAUGAGAUUGCCGGCCGAGCAAACCACGGCUCCAACGAGCAGCUCCGUGCAAACUCCCUCGCCACUCCCCUUGUCGCCAUGGCCAUUGGUACGGCGGCGGCCGCACCACGCUCUCCUGGCUUCCAUACCGUGUCGGUCCUCGGGUACGCGGUCACUUCUUGGUUCUUGCUGCUCUCACUUUUCUUUUUUUUUUUCCGCUUCAGUUUGCCAAGAAUUGGUCUCGCGUGCAGCACGGCAGCAAACGCCAUUGCUAGUUAACAUGCAGUUUCAGAGGUACUAGUAGCUAGCUUGCCCGCGAUAUCGCGCUAGGAACAUGAGUGUGGUUUUUCCAACUGUGCCGGCCCGGGCAUGUGAAUUCACCACCGUUGAUGCAGCUUCAAAUGUCGUGCGCCCAGAUUCUCCGCCGGCUGUUGGUCCCACCAGGACCGGGCGCGCACCUUCUGCCUGCCCAGGGAUGCCUCGCCAGGCAAGUAUUGCGGAGAAGCGCCAGGCCCCGAGCGAGGCAAACUGGUUUGGGGACCCACUUCUUUCCUCGGAUUCUCCUACCACGUUCGGCCAGCAGGCAUUCUUCUCAUCUCCGCAAGCUCAACAAUGAAGUCUCCCUCCUCUUCUUAGAUCUGCUUUUCCCGGAAGCUGGUGAGGACGCCCAAUGGCGGCGGGAAGAGAGGAACAGAGCAAUGGGGAAGAGCAGGACCAGAGCAUUCCAAUCGACGGUACAGAACCAACAAGAGGAUUGGUUUCGAUUGAGGAAGCCGCCGUUCUUAACUGCUACCCAUUCAUGCUCCACUCACACUUCAACAACCAGAUGGGAAAUCAAAUCGGUAUAGGAAUGGCAUUCCAGGAUAUGGUAAUGAGAGCCACCAAGGGAGUGUUGAACUAUGUAGCUGAUGACUUGAAUGAAGAAUCUGUGAGUGGCCGUGUAGAACAAGAUCAGACCUCCAAUGGAUAUUCAGGUGUUCCUUUGGAUGUAGAAAGUUCACCUGCAGAGCAUAACUCUUUUGUUUCAGGACUCUCACCUGUGGAAGCUGCAUCUUCCUCAUUUUGGUAAGCAUUUCCUGAUUGAAAUAGACAACCCUUUCCAGCACUGCAUGCCGUCGACCAUUAUUAUUGUUACUGAACACCUGCGUUCUUUUGUUCAUGUGCGUUGAGCGCGGGAGAUGGUUGCAGAAACUCUACAGCGCUCUCAACAGGAGAGGGGGCUGGCAACCAAGAUGAAUCAGGGCCUUGAGUCUUAGAAAUUGAAGAGGAAGGGAAUGUUUCUGCCAACCACACAAUGAUGAGUACAGAAAUGGUAGCUCAGCCAUGGCCUAGUCGUAAAAGGCUGCCUAAGGAUGCACCUGAAGGGUGCCCCCAAAGCUUGAUGGGUGCAAUCAAGAGGGCUCUACGCAAUGCUUCAAACAGAAAGGGUAAAUAUAUACUUGAGCCAACACCUGGAAUGACUUUUGACUGCGUGAGUGAAGCACAAGAGUUUUAUAAUAUAUAUUCAUGGGAGGUUGGAUUUGGUACAAAGAAGGGGGAUAAAUAUGGGAAAUCAAUGCAAGAAUUCCAAUGCCAGCGUCAUGGUUCAGACAACCGAGUUCAGUACCAAACCAUGAAGAAGAAGUGUCCUGCCCUGCUCCGGUUACACCGGACAAUAAACUUUGGGUGGUACGUAAGUCACCACAAAUCAGAACAUAACCAGUUCCGAGUCCUAUGCUGAGAAGUUGUGCUGGAAUUCCCAUGGAAAGAUUGACCAGUAUGUAAAGGAUAUGAUCAGGUAUCUAAGAGAUAAUAAUGUGACUCUCACAAAGGUAAACCACAUCAUGGGAAGUAUGCUGGGGCCUACUGGUAAAGCUCCAUGGUCAAGGAAUUCUAUAGCAAAUCUUUGCAAGCGAUUAGCAAAGGAGCAAAAGGCUGAUGAUGUCAGGAAAACACUAGAGGUGUUUAAGGAGAUGAAGAAACAAGACCCAGGUUUUCACUGCAGUGUUGACUAUGAUGCAAAAAACAAGAUAAAGACUCUAAUGUGGUGCACUGGAAAGAGUAGGAGUCAGUACGCUUGUUUUGGUGAUGUUGUUACAUUUGAUACAACUUAUUUCACCAACAUUUACAAGAUGCCUUUUGGGAUAUUUGUUGGUGUCAACAACCAUUUCCAGAGUAUAAUCUUUGGUGGAGUUUUAAUGACAGAUGAAACCACAGCAAGUUUUGAGUGGGUUUUUAA
Molecule: long non-coding RNA, 2234 nt
Organism: Panicum hallii
Lineage: Eukaryota; Viridiplantae; Streptophyta; Magnoliopsida; Poales; Poaceae
Exons: 5
Source: RefSeq, a predicted model, not a curated record